GAUGAACGCUGGCGGCGUGCCUAACACAUGCAAGUCGCACGAUGAUGAAUAAUCAUAGUGGCGCACGGGUGAGUAACACGUAGCUUAUCUGCCCCUAAGAGUGGGAUAACUCAGCGAAAGUUGAGCUAAUACCGCAUAAGCUCCCGACGAAUAGGUAGUUGAGAGAAAAGGUGAAAAUCGCUUAGGGAUGAGGUUGCGACCCAUCAGCUAGUUGGAGUGGUAAAAGCACACCAAGGCAACGACGGGUAGGGGGCCUGAGAGGGUGACCCCCCACACUGGGACUGAGACACGGCCCAGACUCCUACGGGAGGCAGCAGUGAGGAAUAUUGGUCAAUGGACGAAAGUCUGAACCAGCGACGCCGCGUGGGCGAAGAAGGUCUUCGGAUCGUAAAGCCCUUUUCUGAGUGACGAGAAAGGACGGUAGCUCAGGAAAAAGUGUCGGCUAACUACGUG
This 453-nucleotide ribosomal RNA is filed under the name uncultured organism. RNAcentral describes it as "bacterial SSU rRNA". It matches the Rfam family "Bacterial small subunit ribosomal RNA", at positions 28 to 507 of the family's 1533-position model. The record is from RNAcentral.